This 468-nucleotide ribosomal RNA is filed under the name uncultured bacterium. RNAcentral describes it as "partial 16S ribosomal RNA". It matches the Rfam family "Bacterial small subunit ribosomal RNA", at positions 28 to 507 of the family's 1533-position model. The record is from RNAcentral.
GACGAACGCUGGCGGCGUGCUUAACACAUGCAAGUCGAACGGAAAGGCCCUGCUUUUGUGUGGUGCUCGAGUGGCGAACGGGUGAGUAACACGGGAGUAACCUGCCCUUGACUUUGGGAUAACUUCAGGAAACCGGGGCUAAUACCGGAUAGGAGCUCCUGCUGCAUGGGGGGGGUUGGAAAGUUUCGGCGGAUGGGGAUGGACUCGCGGCUUAUCAGCUUGUGGGGGGGGUAGUGGCUUACCCAGGCUUUGACGGGUGGCCGGCCUGGGAGGGUGACCGGCGACAUGGCGCCUGCGGUACGGACCAGACUCCUACGGUAGGCAGCGGUGGGGAAUAUUACCCAGUGAGCGGAAGCGUGUGGCGACAACGCCGCGAGCGUGAUGACGGCCUUGUGGUUGUAAACCGCUUUCGCCUGUGACGAAGCGGUAGUGACGGUAAUGGGUAAAGAAGCACCGGCUAACUACGUG